GGCUUCGGCCUUAGUGGCGCACGGGUGCGUAACGCGUGGGAAUCUGCCCCUUGGUUCGGAAUAACAGUUGGAAACGACUGCUAAUACCGGAUGACGACGUAAGUCCAAAGAUUUAUCGCCGAGGGAUGAGCCCGCGUAGGAUUAGCUAGUUGGUGUGGUAAGAGCGCACCAAGGCGACGAUCCUUAGCUGGUCUGAGAGGAUGAUCAGCCACACUGGGACUGAGACACGGCCCAGACUCCUACGGGAGGCAGCAGUGGGGAAUAUUGGACAAUGGGCGAAAGCCUGAUCCAGCAAUGCCGCGUGAGUGAUGAAGGCCUUAGGGUUGUAAAGCUCUUUUACCCGGGAUGAUAAUGACAGUACCGGGAGAAUAAGCUCCGGCUAACUCCGUGCCAGCAGCCGCGGUAAUACGGAGGGAGCUAGCGUUAUUCGGAAUUACUGGGCGUAAAGCGCACGUAGGCGGCUUUGUAAGUAAGAGGUGAAAGCCCAGAGCUCAACUCUGGAAUUGCCUUUUAGACUGCAUCGCUCGAAUCAUGGAGAGGUCAGUGGAAUUCCGAGUGUAGAGGUGAAAUUCGUAGAUAUUCGGAAG
RNAcentral lists this ribosomal RNA (587 nucleotides) under Sphingomonas sp. Air306. RNAcentral's name for it is "bacterial SSU rRNA". It matches the Rfam family "Bacterial small subunit ribosomal RNA", at positions 82 to 704 of the family's 1533-position model. Lineage: Bacteria; Pseudomonadati; Pseudomonadota; Alphaproteobacteria; Sphingomonadales; Sphingomonadaceae. The record is from RNAcentral.